This 503-nucleotide ribosomal RNA is filed under the name uncultured bacterium. RNAcentral describes it as "partial 16S ribosomal RNA". It matches the Rfam family "Bacterial small subunit ribosomal RNA", at positions 28 to 507 of the family's 1533-position model. The record is from RNAcentral.
GACGAACGCUGGCGGCGUGCUUAACACAUGCAAGUCGAACGGUGAAGCGCUUUCCUUUUUGGUUGGUGUGGAUGAGUGGCGAACGGGUGAGUAACACGUGAGUAACCUGCCCCCUUCUUCUGGAUAACCGCAUGAAAGUGUGGCUAAUACGGGAUAUUCUGCGCCUGCUGCAUGGUGGGUGUGGGAAAGAUUGUGCCUUUGGGUGUUUUCGGUUGGGGAUGGGCUCGCGGCCUAUCAGCUUGUUGGUGGGGUGAUGGCCUACCUAGGCGGUGACGGGUAGCCGGCCUGAGAGGGUGGACGGUCACACUGGGACUGAGACACGGCCCAGACUCCUACGGGAGGCAGCAGUGGGGAAUAUUGCACAAUGGGCGCAAGCCUGAUGCAGCGACGCCGCGUGAGGGAUGGAGGCCUUCGGGGUGUGAACCUCUUUCGCCAGUGAAGCAGGCCUGCUCCUUGUGGGUGGGUUGACGGUAGCUGGAUAAGAAGCGCCGGCUAACUACGUG